UUGAAAAAAUCUUCGAUAAUAUCUACUAACCUUCCAAAAAAAUAUACAUUUAUUAAAGUUUUGAAAAAACCUUUGAAAAAUAUGUAUUUGAUAAUCUACUAUUUAUAAGAGGAUAAUAAAUAACCUUAGAAAAAAAAAUAUACAUUUAUUAAAAUUUUGAAAAAACCUUUGAAAAAUAUGUAUUUUUUUUUUUAUCAAAAGUCAAUCAAAUCCUUUGAAGAAUAUAUACAUUUUAUCCAAGGUUUCUUCAACACUUUCGAUAAUAUCUACUUUUUGUAACCUUUGAAAAAAAAAUAUACAUUUUCCUUUCUCUGUUGUCAGUCUCGCCCGACCUGACAGGUGGUAACGACUGUUGAUUGCAGGAGAAGAUUGAUGUGCAAGUUGAACUCCAAAAUUUAAACCAAUUUUUGUGAAUAAACUUGCUAGAUUGGCAAUCCUCUUGAUUCGUUUCGAUUAAUAAGCUCAUUUAUGUGUUGAGCAAUUUUUAGUUUCUUAUUGUGCAGUUGCAGGUAAGAUUUGUGGAUUUAGGAUCAGACUAUUAACUCUCUGAUAUUGUUGUGUUUUAGGUUUUCAAGUUAUGAGUUGCGAUGUGUUUAUUUGGAUUCAUUGAUUUAAAUUAAAUUAGAUUCGAUGUCAGUUAAUUUUGGGAUGGAGAUGUUGAUAAUUUUGAGUUUCGUUUCGUAGGAAGAUUUUGAGUAUGGAGUAUACGAUGGACAUCACACUUACUUUGAAGAGGAGAAGAAAGGUUAGUUCAUUAACAUAUGCAACUGGGUUUAUUUUCGUUCCUUGUUUGGAAGAAAUCUUGGAAGAAUCUCUUAAAUUUGGAUGCUAUAAUCUACUAGAACUUGUUUCUGUUUUGGAUUAAGUCUUCUGUUUAGACUGAGUGGAAUGUGGAUCCAAUCCCUGCGAUGUAUUGGAGCCCUUAGAGAACUAAUUUAGACAUUCCAAGCAUGAAAUUUUGCUUUCCCAGAAGUCCUUUUAGAUCUAAUUUCAUGAGUUUUAUAGUAUAGACUUCACAUUUCUCAAUGCCAUGUGCCAUCACAGUUGAGCCAAUGUGAAACUGAUCAAAAUCAAUCUCACUCAGACUGUGUACCAAAUGACUUUAAGCAUAAUGAGAAAGGGGUUUUAGUUAAUUAAAAACACUGUGUAACUUCUCAAGAUGUUUUAUGUUAGAUACUAGAAGUAAUUUUGAAAAGGUUAAGACCACCUACAAUCGAACCAAUGUUUUGAUCUUUUCCUGAAGUACUUCAUUUGCACUUCCUUUAGAAGUUAUAUCCCGAACUAACUCUUAGUCAAACUGACAAGUUGAUGAUGAAACUUUGGUAUAAAUUUUUAUAUCUGUUUAAGCAAUACCAAUGACGAGAAGUAUUGACCAACUUGUGCUGGUAGUAUGAAUAUUUAUCUCCUUGCUAACUGUGUCAUUUUGAUGGUUUCUUAUUUUUGUUUGUUUUUUUCUAAAUUUGUAGUAGUGAUUUAACACCAAAUCUUGCUUCAUCUUCAUUAAUCUCUCUUACCUCCACUGUUUUCUCAGCCUGUUUUCUCUUAAAUUGUAAGCUUCUUUUGCAGUGACAAAGAGCAAGUGAAAAUGAAAAAAAAAAUGGGAACUAGGGGAAUCCAAGAUUUCGUUUGUUACAUUUAUAGAUCCUCAAACUUGAUAUUGCCUUGUUGUUAUCGGAAAUGUUAGGAUAAAGUUUCGUGAUGCGGAGAUCACCGGUGCCGUAAGCAGCUACGUGAGCGUCCAAAUCACUUUGCCAGAUCAAGACUUUAAGCUUCUUCUUUUUUCUUUUACUAAAUAUUAUGCACAAAAUUGUCCCUAUAUUUGUAAUCUUUUAUAGUAAUUUUACCCUUUAAAAUAUUUUUCUAUUUUAAUUGAAUUAACUAACUCUUAUUGAAUUAUUCUUCUCAAUAAUAAAGGAUGCACAAAUAUGUAGGCUU
Long non-coding RNA from Cucumis sativus (cucumber), 1935 nucleotides. RefSeq lists it as uncharacterized. Lineage: Eukaryota; Viridiplantae; Streptophyta; Magnoliopsida; Cucurbitales; Cucurbitaceae. The transcript has 4 exons. The record is from RefSeq and is a predicted model, not a curated record.